UCGGGAAUUUUGGGCAAUGGGCGAAAGCCUGACCCAGCAACGCCGCGUGAGGGAUGAAGUAUUUCGGUAUGUAAACCUCGAAAGAAUGGGAAGAAUAAAUGACGGUACCAUUUAUAAGCUCCGGCUAACUACGUGCCAGCAGCCGCGGUAAUACGUAGGGAGCAAGCGUUGUUCGGAUUUACUGGGCGUAAAGGGCGCGUUGGCGGCGCGGUAAGUCACUUGUGAAAUCUCUGAGCUUAACUCAGAACGGCCAAGUGAUACUGCUGUGCUAGAGUGCGGAAGAGGCAACCGGAAUUCUUGGUGUAGCGGUGAAAUGCGUAGAUAUCAAGAGGAACACCUGAGGCGAAGGCGGGUUGCUGGGCCGACACUGACGCUGAUGCGCGAAAGCCAGGGGAGCAAACG
This 402-nucleotide ribosomal RNA is filed under the name uncultured bacterium. RNAcentral's name for it is "bacterial SSU rRNA". It matches the Rfam family "Bacterial small subunit ribosomal RNA", at positions 355 to 774 of the family's 1533-position model. The record is from RNAcentral.